Molecule: long non-coding RNA, 1161 nt
Organism: Rhincodon typus (whale shark)
Lineage: Eukaryota; Metazoa; Chordata; Chondrichthyes; Orectolobiformes; Rhincodontidae
Exons: 2
Source: RefSeq, a predicted model, not a curated record
GCGGCACCCGCUCCCUCGGCCCUGACCCUCCGGCGGCGCCUGCUCCCUCGGGGCCGACCCUCCGGCAGCGCCCCGCUCCCUCGGCCUCUGACAUCGCUCGCUCCCUCGGCCCUGACCCUCCGGCAGCGCCCCGCGCUCUCAGCGCCGACCCUCCGACAGCUCCCAAGCUGAACACCAGGAGUACGGCAGCUCUCUCUCUCUCCCUCUCAGCUGCUUCACUGGGUCUUUUGCUCUCGCCCUCCGAUAGCAGGGGGCCUCCCGCCACGUCCUUCCUGGUUUUAAUUUCAUCCUGUCUCAUCCCUCUCUUUCUCUCUCCGUCCAGGAACGAGGGUCUACAGCCCUCCGGAGUACAUCCAGCAGCGACGCUACCAGGCCAUCCCCGCCACCGUCUGGUCCCUUGGGAUCUUGCUGUACGACAUGGUCUGCGGAGACAUCCCCUUCCAACAGGACGAGGAAAUCCUGGCCUGCAAGUUCCAAAUACCAUCCUCCAUCUCAGAUGAAUGUGAGGAUUUGAUACGUCGGUGCCUCUCCUCAGAUUCCCGUGACCGGCCCAGCCUCGAGCAGAUCCUGCAGCACCCAUGGGUUCAGUGGGACGCGGGGAGACAGACACCAGGGUUUCGGGUCCAGGGGGGCGGUGGCGACCCUGACCCCUGCCAGGAAGGCCGGUGAGGGGGCCGCUUGGAGAAGCAACGGGACGUUCUGUUUGUCGGCGCCUCCUUGUGGAAGCAAGGGAGGGCGGAGGUGCCAGGAAGUCACCAUCCUGGGACAGCGAGAGAUCGCCAGGACUGGAGGCGGGGGGGUGGGGGGGCACCCUGAACAGACUGGAGCUCGUGACUAUGGGAUCCUCACCGCAGAGGGCAAAAGACCUCCGCCGCCCCCCCCCCCCCCCGCGCCGACCCCCCGCCUCCGUAGAAAUGGGCGAAUCGGUUGGAUAUCAAGAACGUGGGCACAAACACCAGGGAGUGAGGUGUUUGAACGAGAGAGAGAGAGAGAGAGUGAUUGCUCCCACAGUCGAGCAGCCGUCUGGAAAUGUGAAUACUUGGAAAUGGGUGCAAGAGGCAGAUUUGAUGUAACGUUUAAAAUAUCAGACUGCCCUCGGACAUGCAGGAGCGUUGUUUUAACUGUGUAAAUACUUGUAUAAUAUAAACCAUUUCACAAUUG